Molecule: long non-coding RNA, 345 nt
Filed under: Homo sapiens (human)
Lineage: Eukaryota; Metazoa; Chordata; Mammalia; Primates; Hominidae
Description: HSALNT0010335
Source: RNAcentral
GCUGGAGUGCAAUGGCGCGAUCUUGGCUCACUGCAAUAUCUGCCUCCCAGGUUCAUGCGAUUCUCCUGCCUCAGUCUCCCGAGUAGCUGGGAUUACAGAGCUCUUUGCUAAUACCACAUGAUGCUGACUGUAACUGAAAGAAGUUAAACUGUGCUAAGAAACAAAGAGUUUAAAUAGAACUUUUCCUGUACUCAAAUUUCUCUUUUCAUGUUUCUUAUUUGACAAUAUAAAAGAAAAAAUAAACGAACAUUAACACAUUUAAAUGAUUCUUAAGCUAUACUGUCCUCAUAGCAUCAUAAAAUGAUAGAACUUUUGACUCAAAGGAAUCUUAAGAGGUAAGCGGAA